CGCAGUAGCUCAGUGGUAGAGCUAUCGGCUGUUAACCGAUCGGUCGUAGGUUCGAAUCCUACCUGCG
This 67-nucleotide transfer RNA is filed under the name Staphylococcus hominis. Its description in RNAcentral is "tRNA-Asn". It matches the Rfam family "tRNA". Rfam says of the family: Transfer RNA (tRNA) molecules are approximately 80 nucleotides in length. Their secondary structure includes four short double-helical elements and three loops (D, anti-codon, and T loops). The record is from RNAcentral. RNAcentral also lists the same sequence under 2 other names. Lineage: Bacteria; Bacillati; Bacillota; Bacilli; Caryophanales; Staphylococcaceae.